GCCAGUGUGGCGUAGUGGUUUGAGUGUUGGACUACAACUCUGGAGACCAGGCUUCGAUUCCCUGCUUGGCU
Phrynosoma platyrhinos (Desert horned lizard) is the source of this 71-nucleotide non-coding RNA. NCBI's taxonomy places the organism in Eukaryota, Metazoa, Chordata, Lepidosauria, Squamata, Phrynosomatidae. The record is from the annotation of a GenBank genome assembly.